UCCUGCAAGUGUAGUUACGCAGCGUGCUCUCCGGUGUCAGAGUUUGGAAGUACGAUGCGAUUCUGAAUUUCUUGUCAUAAAACGGAUAAAGGCCGAGAUGAGGCGCGGGAGGAAAAGAAAGUCGGUAGCUGAAGCUUCAGCUCAGCAGGAAAAGUCGGAGGCAGAGUUGCCUGACCCUCAAAAGAAAUCCAAAUCUGAGAACCAAACCAGCCACGCUAGCGAUACAUUUUGGCUAAAAAUAGAACAUUGCAAAUCCUGACAAGUGUACAAGCGCAGAGCUGUGGAACUGUCCGAGGCUCUGCGCGUAGAAUUUGGGGAUCUUAAGAUAGAUCUAAAUCCAGACCCCCCACGCCGAAAUACCUUUGAAGUCACCAUGAUUUUCAAGAAUGUUGUCCAAAUCUGGAGUGGCAUCAAAAAAGGCCCACCUCGCAAGCUGAAGUUCCCUGAGGCUAGUGUUAU
Molecule: long non-coding RNA, 459 nt
Organism: Lingula anatina
Lineage: Eukaryota; Metazoa; Brachiopoda; Lingulata; Lingulida; Lingulidae
Source: RefSeq, a predicted model, not a curated record